GGGGGCGAACUAGAUUCGACGGGGAUGAACGGGGUGUUGGAACGCGAGCCGAGGUCCUGUGCCUCGUUAAACAGCAGGAAACCAUUAAGUGCCAACAACACUGAAGAAAACUACGCUUUAGCUGCUUAAUCCCAGCUAACGCCUGAGUCCCAAGUUCCUACCUUCGGAUUCGUGGCGUAAAAAUGUAGGAUACCUUGGUAUAAGGUCCGAGAUAUCAAGGGAAAUUAAGGACUGGCCAUGCAGAUGCCGCGCUGUGUACGACACUGCUUGGUGAGACGAAUUUCACAGCUACGCUCGUAGGGGUCCGGCACGACGUGUCUUCGGACGGGACGGGCAGCACGUCCCCGCCUCCACCA
Molecule: non-coding RNA, 356 nt
Organism: Sulfobacillus thermosulfidooxidans
Lineage: Bacteria; Bacillati; Bacillota; Clostridia; Eubacteriales; Clostridiales Family XVII. Incertae Sedis
Source: Rfam